Molecule: ribosomal RNA, 253 nt
Filed under: uncultured bacterium
Lineage: Bacteria
Description: partial 16S ribosomal RNA
Rfam family: Bacterial small subunit ribosomal RNA
Source: RNAcentral
UACGUAGGGGGCAAGCGUUGUCCGGAAUCAUUGGGCGUAAAGAGCGUGUAGGCGGCCCGAUAAGUCCGCUGUGAAAGUCCAGGGCUCAACCCUGGGAUGCCGGUGGAUACUGUCGGGCUCGAGUCCGGAAGAGGAGUGUGGAAUUCCUGGUGUAGCGGUGAAAUGCGCAGAUAUCAGGAGGAACACCCGUAGCGAAGGCGGCACUCUGGGCCGAUACUGACACUGAGGAGCGAAAGCCAGGGGAGCGAACGGG